GACGAACGCUGGCGGCGUGCCUAAUACAUGCAAGUCGAACGAAGCUGUUUUAACUGGUGCUUGCACCGACUUAAACAACUGAGUGGCGAACGGGUGAGUAACACGUGGGUAACCUGCCCCAAAGCGGGGGAUAACAUUUGGAAACAGAUGCUAAUACCGCAUAACCACAGAAACCACAUGGUUUCUGUGCCAAAGAUGGUUUCGGCUAUCACUUUUGGAUGGACCCGGGGCGUAUUAGCUAGUUGGUAAGGUAAUGGCUUACCAAGGCAAUGAUACGUAGCCGAACUGAGAGGUUGAUCGGCCACAUUGGGACUGGAACACGGCACAACCUCUAACGGGAGGCAGAAGUAGGGAAUCUUCCACAAUGGACGAAAGUCUGAUGGAGCAACGCCGCGUUAGUGAAGAAGGUUUUCGGAUCGUAAAACUCUGUUGUCAGAGAAGAACGUGUGCGAGAGUAACUGUUCGUGCAGUGACGGUAUCUGGCCAGAAAGCCACGGCUAACUACGUGCCAGCCGCCGCCGUAA
Molecule: ribosomal RNA, 524 nt
Filed under: uncultured bacterium
Lineage: Bacteria
Description: partial 16S ribosomal RNA
Rfam family: Bacterial small subunit ribosomal RNA
Source: RNAcentral